GAUGAACGCUAGCGAUAGGCUUAACACAUGCAAGUCGAGGGGCAGCACAAGGUAGCUUGCUAUCUGGGUGGCGACCGGCGCACGGGUGCGUAACGCGUAUGCAACUUGCCCUAUACAGGAGGAUAACCCGUCGAAAGACGGACUAAUACUGCGUAUGCUCACAACUUGGCAUCAAGUGGUGAGGAAAGAAAUUCGGUAUAGGAUAGGCAUGCGUCCCAUUAGCUUGUUGGUGAGGUAACGGCUCACCAAGGCAACGAUGGGUAGGGGAACUGAGAGGUUUAUCCCCCACACUGGUACUGCGACACGGACCAGACUCCUACGGGAGGCAGCAGUGAGGAAUAUUGGUCAAUGGGCGCGAGCCUGAACCAGCCAAGUCGCGUGAAGGAUGACUGUCUUAUGGAUGGUAAACUUCUUUUAUACGGGAAUAACAAGAGUCACGUGUGACUCCCUGCAUGUACCGUAUGAAUAAGCAUCGGCUAACUCCGUG
RNAcentral lists this ribosomal RNA (487 nucleotides) under uncultured bacterium. Its description in RNAcentral is "partial 16S ribosomal RNA". It matches the Rfam family "Bacterial small subunit ribosomal RNA", at positions 28 to 507 of the family's 1533-position model. The record is from RNAcentral.